Molecule: ribosomal RNA, 254 nt
Filed under: uncultured bacterium
Lineage: Bacteria
Description: partial 16S ribosomal RNA
Rfam family: Bacterial small subunit ribosomal RNA
Source: RNAcentral
UACGGAGGAUCCAAGCGUUAUCCGGAAUCAUUGGGUUUAAAGGGUGCGUAGGCGGACUUGUAAGUCAGUGGUGAAAUCUCUCAGCUUAACUGAGAAACUGCCAUUGAUACUGCAGGUCUAGAGUAUAGAUGACGUUGGCGGAAUAUGACAUGUAGUGGUGAAAUACUUAGAUAUGUCAUAGAACACCGAUUGCGAAGGCAGCUAACGAAACCAUAAACUGACGCUGAGGCACGAAAGUGCGGGGAUCAAACAGG